This 447-nucleotide ribosomal RNA is filed under the name uncultured bacterium. Its description in RNAcentral is "partial 16S ribosomal RNA". It matches the Rfam family "Bacterial small subunit ribosomal RNA", at positions 331 to 795 of the family's 1533-position model. The record is from RNAcentral.
CCAGACUCCUACGGGAGGCAGCAGUGGGGGAUAUUGCACAAUGGGGGAAACCCUGAUGCAGCGACGCCGCGUGGGUGAAGAAGCGCCUCGGCGCGUAAAGCCCUGUCAGCAGGGAAGAAAAUGACGGUACCUGAGGAAGAAGCCCCGGCUAACUACGCGCCAGCAGCCGCGGUAAUACGUAGGGGGCAAGCGUUAUCCGGAUUUACUGGGUGUAAAGGGGGCGCAGACGGCAGCGCAAGCCAGGAGUGAAAGCCCGGGGCCCAACCCCGGGACUGCUCUUGGAACUGCGCGGCUGGAGUGCUGGAGGGGCAGGCGGAAUUCCUGGUGUAGCGGUGAAAUGCGUAGAUAUCAGGAGGAACACCGGUGGCGAAGGCGGCCUGCUGGACUGCGACUGACGUUGAGGCCCGAAAGCGUGGGGAGCAAACAGGAUUAGAUACCCUCGUAACC